UAAGCAUAUUCUGUCAGGAUUAACAUUAUCACAAGACCACAACCACAUCUACUUUAAGACCUGUACCAUAGUUAUGUUAACCUUUUAUUACUGUAUUUUUUAUGCUGUGAUCUAAGUGUUUAUUUAGGUUAACACAAAAACAUAGCUUAGGAACACACCUUUGACAGU
Oxyura jamaicensis (ruddy duck) is the source of this 168-nucleotide long non-coding RNA. RefSeq lists it as uncharacterized. The record is from RefSeq and is a predicted model, not a curated record. The transcript has 3 exons. NCBI's taxonomy places the organism in Eukaryota, Metazoa, Chordata, Aves, Anseriformes, Anatidae.